GGGGACGAACGGCUUGAUGGAAAACGUACCGAAUAAUGCAGGCGAGCAUUAUAGUUGUCUCGUAAAACCACCUAUAAAAACAAAUAAGUGCCAACUUAUUUGAAAAAGCCAAGGGAGCGUUAGCCCAGGUUUUCCAGGGCUUUCAGCCCUUGGUUCCUGCUUACGCCUAAUUCGUAAGCCAUCCUUUCUGCUGACUUCCGCUAGGCAGGAAAGGGUGUUAUAUCAGCGGGAUAGAUAAUUCUUUUUGCGGUUCAAAAAAGAAUUAUCGAAACCUUAAAAGAACCGGGUUCCGAAAAUUUUGUCCAUUUUUUAUUUCGGGACUUAUUAAGAAAUGGACUAACCUGUAGAAAUUAUUCGGGAAGUUUUUCAGACGAGGGUUCAAUCCCCUCCGUCUCCACCU
Molecule: transfer-messenger RNA, 400 nt
Filed under: bacterium
Lineage: Bacteria
Rfam family: transfer-messenger RNA
About the family: Bacterial tmRNA, also known as 10Sa RNA or SsrA, is named for its dual tRNA and mRNA-like properties. Its role is to liberate the mRNA from a stalled ribosome.
Source: RNAcentral